AACUAUAUAGCCUACUUCCGUCAGCAUUUUGUCUCUUGAUUUAUUUUUUUUUCAUGUCAUUAUUUCACACGUGAUGUUGUACAAAAGAAAGAAGCGGAAUGAAUAUUACAUUUUCCAUUCUCAUAGGUGGGUGUGGAGGACAAGGGAAUAUACCAAAUACGUAUAUCGUAUAAUAAUCCUCUUAUCAGCAAUUCCAAUAUGCCGGGCCUGUAUAAUUCUCCCUGCGCAAUAGACGACCUCUAUGCGAUCCGUAGUAAAUUCAAAUGUUGAGCGAUAGAUGGCGAUCAAAUCGAUGGGAACCGCUUCAACCCGCCGUCAAAAUCCAUCAAUCACGCUCGAGUUUCACGGACGGGUAUUAAUGCUCCGUGAGAAAAUGAAACUGGAUCUCUUCUCCAUCAACCGUCACCUUGUUUGGUCAUUCCUACCUUCAUCAAACAAAAACUCAAAACAGUCCUAUUUCACAUGCAGAUUGCUGCUGCAGCUCUAAUGUUAAACUCAAGUGCGCGAUCGCAGUAUUUCAUCUCGAUUCGCUACUGCUGCCACCAACGAAUUCAACCAUCUGUAAAAAAAAGAAAAAAUAUAUAACCAAACGCAGACUUAUGGAGAAAAGAUAAUCAUCGCAGUUGGUUUCGUCCGAAUCAUUGUCCAACUCUGCUCGGUUUUGAAUUUUGUUUGUCACGACACAGUUGAGACGAUGAACCAAGUCAAAAUGAGCGCCGAAACAGUUUGGGGAGGGGUCACGGUUAGAUGAGACAAAGUGCACUGUCUGCCGAGUGAGUGUGUGUAAUCCUUUUCCUUCAGACAGAAUUUCAGUAAAAAUAAAACAAAAUAAAAAGAAAACCGUUCGUCAGCUUAAUGAAGCCACGCGUCGUUCAGCCCCAAGGGCGGUAUAGCAGCAGCCAAUUCGUCCAGAGAUUUAAAGCCUGUCGUCGGCGUUUGAAAAACAUUACGUAUUAUAUCCUAGAAGAGCCUAUACAGACAGAGUCGACUUUGUGUGUGUGAUAAUAACAUACAGGAAUAUUAUAACUGGAUACUGGAAUAACCGGAUGAAUGAGAACCCCUCUAGUCUUCUACAGUCGUCCUUAUUAUCUUCUUCAAUAGAUUUUCUUUUUAUUUUUAGUUUCGUUAUAAUAAUGUAUAACUCAAAGGCUUCUUUUUUUUUAUGCCGUUUCAAUCUGUGACCCGACCGAAAUCGGUAGCCCCCGAAAGAAAAAAAAAAAGAGAAGUUGAUGAUGGUGGUAAUUAUCUUUUAUUUAAUACGCGUGCAUACACACUACUGGAGUUUUGGGCCGUAGGACGAGGCAACUCUCUACAGCAGCUAAUUAUAUUGGUAUCCGUCGAAUGUUUUUACCUGCGUAGCAUCCAGUAUGCGUUAGAGAGACUACAGCUCCGUUCUCUAUACGUGAACUAGACAGGUUGGAAGAAAAAGAAAAAGGAAUCUGGUCGUAACUUGUUUCUUUUUCUUGUUUAAAAAAAAAAUGAAAAAUAAAAAUAAGCCUCUGUCUUAAAUAAACUGAAACUCUAAAUUAUUCUUAUUCUCAGAACAUCUUUCUCUCUAACAGAGACAGAGAGAGAAAAACACUGGAGGCUUGUUGUUGCCAAGUCGGACACGUUCUAAGGCCCCGUAGCUCGGCCGCAUCUAUAUACAGGAAUAUAUAUACUAUGUGCCUGUGUAUGUCUAAACCGGUUUGAACUCGAAUGCCCACAUACAUUUUAUAAAAUGAUACUCGUAUUUCUUCAAAAGGCAGAAACGAAAUAAGAAAAAAACCAAACAUCCAACUCUUUUAAUUCAAUAAAUUUACAACAGAGACGCCAGCACAAACUGACCGUCGCGCAAUCGAAAAAUGGACUUGUUCCUCAUUCGAUCCUUUCUUUUUCCACCAUUGAAUGAAAAGUUAUUAUAAAAUAUAUUAUUAUCAAAAGUAAUUAUUAUUACGUGAUUCGUGGACGUUGGUUGAAACUUUAAUUCAUUUACUAAAACAAAAUCUGAAUAUAGAUUGCAUCGUUGCCGUUUGGAAUUUUUGAUCAUGUGUUUUUUUCUUUUUCUUUUCUGUUUUAUUUUUGUGAUGUGGUUGUGAAUCGAUUUGCCGAUAGCCCCGUGGGGCCUUUUAUGAGAGAGAGAGAGAGAGAGAAGGGCCGGUCGGCGC
This is a long non-coding RNA of Daphnia pulicaria, 2147 nucleotides long. RefSeq lists it as uncharacterized. The transcript has 3 exons. Lineage: Eukaryota; Metazoa; Arthropoda; Branchiopoda; Diplostraca; Daphniidae. The record is from RefSeq and is a predicted model, not a curated record.